RNAcentral lists this ribosomal RNA (2132 nucleotides) under Salmonella enterica. RNAcentral's name for it is "partial 23S ribosomal RNA". It matches the Rfam family "Bacterial large subunit ribosomal RNA", at positions 691 to 2803 of the family's 2925-position model. Lineage: Bacteria; Pseudomonadati; Pseudomonadota; Gammaproteobacteria; Enterobacterales; Enterobacteriaceae. The record is from RNAcentral.
GGCGUUAAGUUGCAGGGUAUAGACCCGAAACCCGGUGAUCUAGCCAUGGGCAGGUUGAAGGUUGGGUAACACUAACUGGAGGACCGAACCGACUAAUGUUGAAAAAUUAGCGGAUGACCUGUGGCUGGGGGUGAAAGGCCAAUCAAACCGGGAGAUAGCUGGUUCUCCCCGAAAGCUAUUUAGGUAGCGCCUCGUGAAUUCAUCUCCGGGGGUAGAGCACUGUUUCGGCUAGGGGGCCAUCCCGGCUUACCAACCCGAUGCAAACUGCGAAUACCGGAGAAUGUUAUCACGGGAGACACACGGCGGGUGCUAACGUCCGUCGUGAAGAGGGAAACAACCCAGACCGCCAGCUAAGGUCCCAAAGUCAUGGUUAAGUGGGAAACGAUGUGGGAAGGCCCAGACAGCCAGGAUGUUGGCUUAGAAGCAGCCAUCAUUUAAAGAAAGCGUAAUAGCUCACUGGUCGAGUCGGCCUGCGCGGAAGAUGUAACGGGGCUAAACCAUGCACCGAAGCUGCGGCAGCGACGCUGAUGCGUUGUUGGGUAGGGGAGCGUUCUGUAAGCCUGCGAAGGUGGCCUGUGAGGGUUGCUGGAGGUAUCAGAAGUGCGAAUGCUGACAUAAGUAACGAUAAAGCGGGUGAAAAGCCCGCUCGCCGGAAGACCAAGGGUUCCUGUCCAACGUUAAUCGGGGCAGGGUGAGUCGACCCCUAAGGCGAGGCCGAAAGGCGUAGUCGAUGGGAAACGGGUUAAUAUUCCCGUACUUGGUGUUACUGCGAAGGGGGGACGGAGAAGGCUAUGUUGGCCGGGCGACGGUUGUCCCGGUUUAAGCGUGUAGGUGUGUGUUCCAGGUAAAUCCGGUUCACUUUAACACUGAGGCGUGACGACGAGGCACUACGGUGCUGAAGCAACAAAUGCCCUGCUUCCAGGAAAAGCCUCUAAGCAUCAGGUAACAUCAAAUCGUACCCCAAACCGACACAGGUGGUCAGGUAGAGAAUACCAAGGCGCUUGAGAGAACUCGGGUGAAGGAACUAGGCAAAAUGGUGCCGUAACUUCGGGAGAAGGCACGCUGACACGUAGGUGAAGUGAUUUACUCAUGGAGCUGAAGUCAGUCGAAGAUACCAGCUGGCUGCAACUGUUUAUUAAAAACACAGCACUGUGCAAACACGAAAGUGGACGUAUACGGUGUGACGCCUGCCCGGUGCCGGAAGGUUAAUUGAUGGGGUCAGCGCAAGCGAAGCUCCUGAUCGAAGCCCCGGUAAACGGCGGCCGUAACUAUAACGGUCCUAAGGUAGCGAAAUUCCUUGUCGGGUAAGUUCCGACCUGCACGAAUGGCGUAAUGAUGGCCAGGCUGUCUCCACCCGAGACUCAGUGAAAUUGAACUCGCUGUGAAGAUGCAGUGUACCCGCGGCAAGACGGAAAGACCCCGUGAACCUUUACUAUAGCUUGACACUGAACAUUGAGCCUUGAUGUGUAGGAUAGGUGGGAGGCUUUGAAGCGUGGACGCCAGUCUGCGUGGAGCCGACCUUGAAAUACCACCCUUUAAUGUUUGAUGUUCUAACGUGGACCCGUGAUCCGGGUUGCGGACAGUGUCUGGUGGGUAGUUUGACUGGGGCGGUCUCCUCCUAAAGAGUAACGGAGGAGCACGAAGGUUGGCUAAUCCUGGUCGGACAUCAGGAGGUUAGUGCAAUGGCAUAAGCCAGCUUGACUGCGAGCGUGACGGCGCGAGCAGGUGCGAAAGCAGGUCAUAGUGAUCCGGUGGUUCUGAAUGGAAGGGCCAUCGCUCAACGGAUAAAAGGUACUCCGGGGAUAACAGGCUGAUACCGCCCAAGAGUUCAUAUCGACGGCGGUGUUUGGCACCUCGAUGUCGGCUCAUCACAUCCUGGGGCUGAAGUAGGUCCCAAGGGUAUGGCUGUUCGCCAUUUAAAGUGGUACGCGAGCUGGGUUUAGAACGUCGUGAGACAGUUCGGUCCCUAUCUGCCGUGGGCGCUGGAGAACUGAGGGGGGCUGCUCCUAGUACGAGAGGACCGGAGUGGACGCAUCACUGGUGUUCGGGUUGUCAUGCCAAUGGCACUGCCCGGUAGCUAAAUGCGGAAGAGAUAAGUGCUGAAAGCAUCUAAGCACGAAACUUGCCCCGAG